This 73-nucleotide transfer RNA is filed under the name Operophtera brumata (winter moth). It matches the Rfam family "tRNA". From Rfam's summary of the family: Transfer RNA (tRNA) molecules are approximately 80 nucleotides in length. Their secondary structure includes four short double-helical elements and three loops (D, anti-codon, and T loops). Further hydrogen bonds mediate the characteristic L-shaped molecular structure. tRNAs have two regions of fundamental functional importance: the anti-codon, which is responsible for specific mRNA codon recognition, and the 3' end, to which the tRNAs corresponding amino acid is attached (by aminoacyl-tRNA synthetases). tRNAs cope with the degeneracy of the genetic code in two manners: having more than one tRNA (with a specific anti-codon) for a particular amino acid; and 'wobble' base-pairing, i.e. permitting non-standard base-pairing at the 3rd anti-codon position. The record is from Rfam by way of RNAcentral. Lineage: Eukaryota; Metazoa; Arthropoda; Insecta; Lepidoptera; Geometridae.
CGUUCUAUGGCCAAAUUGGUAAAGGCUUUGCUUAUGACAGGCGGCGAAGCGGGUUCGAGUCCCGCUGGAACAG